UACGAAGGGGGCUAGCGUUGCUCGGAAUCACUGGGCGUAAAGGGUGCGCAGGCGGCCAAGUGUGUUAGGCGUGAAAGCCCGGGGCUUAACCCCGGAAUUGCACCUAAAACUACAUGGCUAGAGCAUUGGAGAGGGUAGCGGAAUUCACGGUGUAGCAGUGAAAUGCGUAGAUAUCGUGAGGAACACCAGAGGCGAAGGCGGCUACCUGGACAAUUGCUGACGCUCAGGCACGAAAGCGUGGGGAGCAAACAGG
Molecule: ribosomal RNA, 253 nt
Filed under: uncultured bacterium
Lineage: Bacteria
Description: partial 16S ribosomal RNA
Rfam family: Bacterial small subunit ribosomal RNA
Source: RNAcentral